RNAcentral lists this ribosomal RNA (455 nucleotides) under uncultured bacterium. Its description in RNAcentral is "SSU rRNA". It matches the Rfam family "Bacterial small subunit ribosomal RNA", at positions 26 to 518 of the family's 1533-position model. The record is from RNAcentral.
AGGAUGAACGCUGGCGGUGUGCCUAAUACAUGCAAGUCGAGCGGUAAGGCCCCUUCGGGGUACACGAGCGGCGGACGGCUGAGUAACACGUAGGAACAUACCCCAAAGUGAGGGAUAAGCACCAGAAAUGGUGUCUAAUACCGCAUGUGCUCUAAGGAGUAAAGCUUCGGCGCUUUGGGAAUGGCCUGCGCAUGAUUAGCUUGUUGGUGAGGUAAUAGCUCACCAAGGCGACGAUCAUUAGCUGGUCUGAGAGGAUGAUCAGCCAGACUGGGACUGAGACACGGCCCAGACUCCUACGGGAGGCAGCAGUAGGGAAUUUUCCACAAUGGGCGAAAGCCUGAUGGAGCAACACCGCGUGCAGGAUGAAGGCCUUAGGGUCGUAAACUGCUUUUAUAUGUGACGAUUAUGACGGUAGCAUAUGAAUAAGGAUCGGCUAACUCCGUGCCAGCAGCCGC